GUUCAACAAUAAAAUUGGAAUUUAAUAAAUUUUGUGAGUGAAUAAAAAGUUGUUUUUACCGAAAAUUACCGAAUUUGCUUUAGAUUUCCUACCGAUAACCUCUAAAAACAAUCUGGUCACUUCGCGCCUGCAAUCGAAUCGAUUUUGAUCGUAAUCAAAAAUGGAGGAUGCUAGUCAAGAAUCUAUUGCGCUUAUUCAAAAAAAAGUAUGAUGCUAGUCUAAACUCAAUUGGAAAACCCUGUAUUUCGGCAGAUAAUUAACCGAGGUCGUGAAAUAUUUUUUAGUGUGUAGUAUUUGUAGUGGGCUAGUUGUGCACUUUGCAUUGUAGUUUAAUUUCAACCUGGUUAAUAUUUUCACUAUUGUGGGAAUAUUACAUCCGAUGUGUAAUGCAGUUGUGUUGUACCACCGAGGGACUCUAAAAUAGCUUUCAAGAAUUUAUUUUGAGCUCUUUGCAAUUUUAAUUUGUGUGAGUGGGCACAAUUUUACCUAAUGGGUACAACAGCAUUUCGUCUUUGAAAUUUAAUUUCGAUUUCCUAUUAAGAAAACUGUACAGAAUUCUAAAAAGUUUUUUCACAUUUAACAGUAACAUUUUCUGUAUGAUAUCUGUAUGUCAGUCGUUUAUCUACCGUUAGUCCUAGGUAUUUAGUAUGAUCUUUCCGAUAAAUUUCACAGUCGUUAAUUAAUGGUCUAGUAAUUGGAAGCUUCCGAGAACAGGUAUACCUUGUGAAGAAGAUACCCAAGUAGCCAAAAUUGCCUAAGCAGCUAAUUUUGGCAUGCUAAAGAUCGCUGCUUGAAUUCGCCUUUUGCAGUAGAUAAACAGCGUUAAAGUUCCAGGUGGAUCUUUUAAAUAGCGCCUAAGCAGCUUCCUUAUGCCACGGUGCCAGGGAUUAUUUUUCUUUGCGUUUUAUUUUCAAGCAAGGCGUCAUCAAUGAAAUAUGUUAGCGCCUAGAUGUAUGCUGAAAGGUAAUAGCAUACAAGUAGCCAUAAUUUAGUCCAUAACGAUAAGAGUUAGUUAGUGUUAGUGAGAACGCGUACGUCUAUUGAAAUGAUGAAAUAAAUGUUAGAGUCUAAGUUGAACCACCGUACAGAACACAUCGGUUUUUUUGAUUGAGCUAUUGAACAUUUGGUCCUUCGAACAAAAAGGGAUAAACGAGUUGUCAAAAUCGCAAUAGAAUUCGGGACAUUUAGAUUCUCAUCACAAGAUCGCUGCGAUUGUAUCGUUUUUGCUUGUGCUGAAUCCACGAGAUUGUUUGUGAGUGGAAGAGUGUAGGCGUACGAUUUGCCGGCGCAUGCCUUUAUGUGCGUGUUUUUUUACGUGAGUGCACAUGAAGUGGCAUAGAGUUUUGUGACUUUUAUUACACUUUUCCGGGAGUCGGCGGUUUAGAGUGCAGAAGUAAGCGAACGAUAACAGUGCGUAAGCGUAAUUUUGUGCGUGUACCGUUUUUUUUUUAGCUUUAGCAAUCGUGCUAGCGAUUUGUGCGUGUGCGUUAGUUCGGCCAUAGCGUGGGUCCGAGUUACAGAGGUGCGCGUAACUAUAGGUGACGUAAAAUUGUUUUUUUGUUGAUUGCUAGAAAACUACACACAUUUGUGUUGGACCUGCUCCUGAGUUGGGAUGAGAAGUGUAUUUCGGCCAAUUCGCGGGCCCCAAUGCUAGGAGUGGUAAAAUCGUGUGAAAAUUAGAACAAGUUUAGCGUCGGAAAGAUCGUUGCUAGGACAAUCAGUUUGCGGUUAGUGUGUUUCGGCCAUCGUGACCGAGUUGGUGUCAGUGUUCGCCAUCGCAAUUUGAGGAGUGUUGUUGAACUUUAAAAUGCCGAAAGCAUCGAAAGAAGCAGAAAAAAUGGUGCCGUGGAUAAGAAUUUACCAAGAUCGAUUGGCAGGCCUAGGGCAAUUUGAAGAAUUUAUGGAUAAUUACGUGGAUGCACAACGUUGUGAAUUAAGUAGUCAGCUUUUGUCCUUGGAAGAGGCAAAAAAGACUUAUGAAAGCGUGCGGGAAAAGUUGUUAUUGGAGUAUGAUGAGUGUGAUGAGGUACAGUUAAGAAGUGAGAGGAAGGAGUUUCAAAGAAAGUAUCACAAAGUGAAGGGUUUUCUGUUAGAAAAACAAGGACGAGAUGAAAGUGUACGACCGAUCGCGAACAGUACUAUGACGAACACAUUGUUUUCGAGUUCACAAGUGCGUUUACCGAAAAUAGAGCUUCCUACGUUUAGUGGUGAUAGUACGCAAUGGAUGAGUUUUAAGGAUCGUUUCGAAUCGAUGGUGCACGAGGUAGUGGAGUUGUCUGAAGUUAUGAAGCUGCAAUAUUUACUGGCGUCGUUGAGAGGAGAUGUAGCUCGACAACUUGAACAUGUUCAACUUAUGGGGGAGAACUAUUCGAGUACAUGGAAGGCGCUUUUUAAGCGUUUCGAUGAUGAAAAGAAGCUGAAGCGCGAGUAUUUUAAGGCGCUCAUGGAUCUUCAACCAAUGGCAGCAGCAACACCCGAAGAGUUGACUCGAAUCGUUAAUGAAUCUCGACGGUUGGUGCGGGGAAUGGAACGACUAAAAGAGCCAGUAUCAAAAUGGGCUACACCUUGAACAAGUCUGGUAAGAUGCAAAAUUCAUCACGAUACGUUAAUGGCAUACGAAAUCUUUGCAGCUGACACGGAAGACAAUUUUGAUGACCUGAUGGAAUUCUGUGAAAAGAGGAUAAAGAUUUUGAACAACACCGUUACCGAUGGGACAAACAGAAUAUCUACAAAAGCAGCUAAUGAUCCCAUUUCAAGUCGUGCAGAGAACAACGGGCAGAGAAAGAACCCCGGUACCAAAAUCCAUGCGACUUUUCGCUAACGGAUUGAUUAAAUGGCGCCCGAUUAGACGAUCCGAUAGAAGCACUUUUCAGGCUUAACGGAUAGUUUGAAUGACGCGACAUAGUCGUGUUGCAGCAACGUGUGAUAUGUAUCAUGCGAUGUCUUUUAUUGUACAUGCGUCUGGAUUUUUUAAUUCAUGCAGUGGUUGCGAUGAGAACGAAAAUUCUCUCACUCACACAACCACAACCCGUACACGGAACGUACGCGAGCUGUCAGUUUGUAAUGCAAACAAAGUGUUGAAGUGGAUCUAGUAGUUGAUGGGUUUCUAAAUCAUUCAAAUAACAGAAAUAUAUUAGAUACGGUAAGUGUAACAAUGUCCGCUUUGUUUUGUUUGUUCUCAACAAUUUGGCUGAUAUGUUUUUGCGUUGGAUAUAGAUUCCGAAAAUGAACCAAAACAACGUGGCGCAGCCCGGUAGAGGUAAGAAGAUUCCUGCAUCUGGAAAAAGAUCCCGCAAUAUUUUGGAGAAGGAAAAUGAAGAACCUGGAACUAAAAAAAAAGGUAAGAUUGCAUUGCAUUGUUUACAUGUGCGAUUGUUUAAUGCCCCCAGGACAAUCGCAUGGCAAUCGGAUUGAAGGCGCAACAUUUUCCAUACAAUCCGCAGUGUUGCGUUUUCUUCGCGCCAACUUUGCCUGUAUUUUCAAUGAGCCAAGCGAUUUUACCCCCUCCUACACGCGUUGUAUCCUACAGCACGCUUGUCGCGGCAACGUUCACCACAUACACACACAUCUCCACACUCAGCGUACGACAUCUUCCCUGUUGCUGUUCUGGACUCAGACAAAAUUUGUGUUUCUACACUUAUUGUUCAAAAAAGUAGAAGCUCUUAGGAUCUGAAUUUACAAACAAAUAUCAAAAUGUUAUGUUCUGCUAAUGAUAUUGCACUGAAUUUAAUUGCACUAAAUUAAGUUUUUACAUAUCUUUCGUAAAAGUUCGUCAGAGUAUGAAAAUGUCGAUACAAUUUGUCAUGAAUAACUUAAAUUUUAAGAUUUUCGCGCAUAAAAUUAUGACGCGCGCUGUGUGUGCAGCGGCGUAAUUCAUUACUCGUAUAGCCGUCUCGCUUCUUCUUGUGUGUCCUUUACCGUUGCUCACCGCUUCAAGAACAUUGCUGCUCACACACACGUCAGUCUGCGGCAAACAAUUGGAGGGGGAGGAUGUGUCGGUUUGCUCCAGAAAUCGUGUGUGAUUUUGGUGUUCCGGAUUUGGUUCCAUCGCUGUUUGUUUUGGUGGUAUUGUAAAGGUAAGAAUCAUCAACCGAUGUAAAAGUGUGAGAGUAAGAUGAUGCUGAUGGUGACUGAUGCUUUUCUUUGUUUCUUUUCCUGCUUUCAUCCACUGAUGGCGUCGAGCAUCGCCGAGGAUGUGAUCGAAUGCGGAAAAUUCUAAACGAGGAGCUUCAUUCCGGAUUUUGUUUGCAAUAAGCGCUGAAAUCAUCCUCCACCUUACAACGAACGGUCAACGGAUGAGGAAGGAGAGGAGGGACGGCAAAGGUACACGCACAAACGUGCACACAUCAGCCUUCUCUGUGAACGAGAACACGGGAGGGGGAGG
Molecule: long non-coding RNA, 4384 nt
Organism: Anopheles merus
Lineage: Eukaryota; Metazoa; Arthropoda; Insecta; Diptera; Culicidae
Exons: 2
Source: RefSeq, a predicted model, not a curated record